RNAcentral lists this transfer RNA (72 nucleotides) under Camelus bactrianus (Bactrian camel). It matches the Rfam family "tRNA". From Rfam's summary of the family: Transfer RNA (tRNA) molecules are approximately 80 nucleotides in length. Lineage: Eukaryota; Metazoa; Chordata; Mammalia; Artiodactyla; Camelidae. The record is from Rfam by way of RNAcentral. RNAcentral also lists the same sequence under 3 other names.
GGAGAAUAGUUCAAGUGGUAGAACGCCUGCUUAGCAUGCACGAGGUCCUGGGUUCAAUCCCUAGUACCUCCA